Molecule: ribosomal RNA, 460 nt
Filed under: uncultured bacterium
Lineage: Bacteria
Description: partial 16S ribosomal RNA
Rfam family: Bacterial small subunit ribosomal RNA
Source: RNAcentral
CCUACGUGAGGCUGCAGUGAGGAAUAUUGGUCAAUGGACGAGAGUCUGAACCAGCCAAGUAGCGUGAAGGAUGACUGCUCUAUGGUUUGUAAACUUCUUUUAUAUGGGCAUAAAAUAGGGUAUGUAUACCUUCUUGUAUGUACCAUAUGAAUAAGCAUCGGCUAACUCCGUGCCAGCAGCCGCGGUAAUACGGAGGAUGCGAGCGUUAUCCGGAUUUAUUGGGUUUAAAGGGUGCGUAGGUGGUUAGUUAAGUCAGUUGUGAAAGUUUGCGGCUCAACCGUAAAAUUGCAGUUGAAACUGGUAGUCUUGAGUAUAUUAGAGGUGGGCGGAAUGCGUGGUGUAGCGGUGAAAUGCUUAGAUAUCACGAAGAACUCCGAUUGCGAAGGCAGCUUACUAAACUGCAACUGACACUGAUGCUCGAAAGUGUGGGUAUCAAACAGGAUUAGAUACCCGAGUAGUC